UGCCAGACUCCUACGGGAGGCAGCAGUGAGGAAUAUUGGUCAAUGGGCGGGAGCCUGAACCAGCCAAGUCGCGUGAGGGACGACGGUCCUAUGGAUUGUAAACCUCUUUUGUCGGGGAACAAAGGCGCCCACGGGUGGGCGGAUGAGUGUACCCGAAGAAAAAGCAUCGGCUAACUCCGUGCCAGCAGCCGCGGUAAUACGGAGGAUGCGAGCGUUAUCCGGAUUUAUUGGGUUUAAAGGGUGCGUAGGCGGAAGGUUAAGUCAGCGGUCAAAUGUCGGUGCUCAACGCCGGCCUGCCGUUGAAACUGGUCUUCUUGAGUGAGCGAGAAGUAUGCGGAAUGCGUGGUGUAGCGGUGAAAUGCAUAGAUAUCACGCAGAACUCCGAUUGCGAAGGCAGCAUACCGGCGCUCAACUGACGCUGAGGCACGAAAGCGUGGGGAUCGAACAGGAUUAGAUACCCUAGUAC
RNAcentral lists this ribosomal RNA (466 nucleotides) under uncultured bacterium. RNAcentral's name for it is "bacterial SSU rRNA". It matches the Rfam family "Bacterial small subunit ribosomal RNA", at positions 329 to 793 of the family's 1533-position model. The record is from RNAcentral.